UAGCCUACGGGAGGCAGCAGUGGGGAAUAUUGCACAAUGGGGGAAACCCUGAUGCAGCAACGCCGCGUGAGUGAAGAAGUAUUUCGGUAUGUAAAGCUCUAUCAGCAGGGAAGAGAAUGACGGUACCUGACUAAGAAGCCCCGGCUAACUACGUGCCAGCAGCCGCGGUAAUACGUAGGGGGCGAGCGUUAUCCGGAUUUACUGGGUGUAAAGGGAGCGUAGACGGCAAUGCAAGCCAGAUGUGAAAGCCCGGGGCUCAACCCCGGGACUGCAUUUGGAACUGUGUAGCUGGCGUGUCGGAGAGG
This 305-nucleotide ribosomal RNA is filed under the name uncultured bacterium. Its description in RNAcentral is "bacterial SSU rRNA". It matches the Rfam family "Bacterial small subunit ribosomal RNA", at positions 335 to 657 of the family's 1533-position model. The record is from RNAcentral.